This 1294-nucleotide long non-coding RNA is filed under the name Homo sapiens (human). RNAcentral describes it as "HSALNT0393482". The record is from RNAcentral. Lineage: Eukaryota; Metazoa; Chordata; Mammalia; Primates; Hominidae.
UUGGGCUGGAGCUCAGUCAGUUUAGCCUUAUUUUUCUAAAUCCGCACACCAUGGGGAAAAGGUAAAGAAGGAAAAAGAUAUUUUGAUCAAAUGGCUCGUCGGAUGUGCCUCUAGAAGACACAGAGAAUUGUAAGGCUAACUCCACAGUCAAAAUCAGGAGGAAUGGAGAUCCCUGGGGUUCCGAUACCCAAACCUGACACUAAUUUUUUCUUUCAAAUGAUGAUUCUAAAUAAGUGGGGAGACGACUACCAGAAAUCUGAAUCCACUUCGGAGACUUGUCGGCCAUUAUAUAAUUGGAAGCUUGGUGAGCUGAACCAGCUAUUUCCGAAACUUCUUUUGUUUAGUUUCAGGAACAUUGUUUGCAACAAAGAAGGAGACAUCCCUUGCAUCCUGACAUAUGGUACCUUCUAUUUAUAACAAGAUUAACAAUUCAUUCACACCUUGAUUGAAUACUGCUUUAUUGAGAUGUCACAACAGAUUCUCACAGCCUGCAAAGGGAAAGACUUACAAAUGAUAAUAUUAUGACAAGCAAGACACCUAAAAGUAAAUGAAUCAUAAUUGAUGAUAAUUAGAAAGAGCUCAGCACAAACACAGAAUCAUAGCAGUGAUGGUGAGCAGGAUUCGCCUCUUGCAGAAGGACUGCCACAGAGCAAUUCUGCUGAAUUUUCAUUGAGAAGUUGAAAUCCACUCACACCUAGGAAGAAAUCAUUAGAGAUGCAGCUGCUUACAUGCAAGAGCAUGUGCACGAAGCCUGGAUACACAGAUGCAUGUGUGCGAGAGAAGGUGUACGGGAUUAGAGAGCUCUGAAUGGCCUCAUAAUAGAAUCCCAGGGGAGGGCCGGAGGUCCCAGGCCAGCGAUGCUCACACGCCCAUCUCCUCCUGUCUGUGCCGCACAAAGCCUGACAAGGCCUCACUCAUGUUUCAAAGCGCUUUCUCUUUUCAGAGCUAUUUGUUAUUGUCUCUGCCAUCACAAGUUUAAAAAAGGAAAGUUAAUUAAAUAUGGAACAAGACUGAGCAACAUCUUUUAAACCAUCAUGUCAUUAGAACUGGAAUCCUUAGAGAGCUGCUUAAAAGGGGUUUGAGAACAAUGACUGUUCAAUCAGAUAUUUAUGGGCAUAGUUAUGUAAACACACUCUUUAUUGUCUAUGUAUAUUUAAUAUAAUUAUCAGUUUUGUAGUUGGACUCUCCAGAGACCCAACAAAUCACAGUGUUGCUUUGAAAAUGUCAGCAGAAAAGACAAUUAUGUUGCUAGCAAAUAUUCAUAAAUUAUAUUAAAAAGUCCUGUGGAAAUGUC